RNAcentral lists this unclassified non-coding RNA (564 nucleotides) under Hevea brasiliensis (rubber tree). Lineage: Eukaryota; Viridiplantae; Streptophyta; Magnoliopsida; Malpighiales; Euphorbiaceae. The record is from RNAcentral.
GGAAAAAGCUCUUGCUGCUGGGAUUCUCCACUCUUCUCUUCCUGAACUAAGAGGUUUGAUGACAAGUGUAAUGGAAUCAAAUAGUUCUGAAUGGCGUCAUAUGCAAUCAAUUGAGACGUUUGGUAGAGGUGGUCCAGCACCGGGGAUUGGUGUAGGCUGGGGUGCCCCUGGUGGGGGAUUUUGGUCUAAAAAUAUUUUAUCAGCACAAGUAGCUGCACGAUUAUUCAUUUACUUGCUUGAUGUGCUUCCCAUUGAAUCUGUGGAAGAUCAGUUUACAGCUGAAGGAAUGAACUCUAUAAUACAAAAAAUAAAUUCUGUCAUGGGAGCAUGUUUAUUGCUGGGGCCAAUGGAUAGUUCUGCUGUAGAUAAGCUGCUUGAUUUCUUGUUUCAAGUUCCCACUCUAAAGUACAUUGAUUUCAGUAUCCGCCAUUUUCUUAAUCUUAAUCAAGGUUUUCAGUCUUUCAAGUUGGUGUAUCAAGAAGAGGACUAUUUACUGUUGAGUGAUGUCUUAGCUUCUCACUUUAAGAAGAAAUGGUUGUGUGUAAAACAGAAGCGUAAAUCUGC